Molecule: ribosomal RNA, 253 nt
Filed under: uncultured bacterium
Lineage: Bacteria
Description: partial 16S ribosomal RNA
Rfam family: Bacterial small subunit ribosomal RNA
Source: RNAcentral
GACGGAGGAUGCAAGUGUUAUCCGGAAUCACUGGGCGUAAAGCGUCUGUAGGUGGUUCGAAAAGUCCACUGUUAAAAAUUGAGGCUUAACCUCAAAGAUGCCGUGGAAACUUUCAAACUAGAGUAUGGUAGGGGUAGAGGGAAUUUCCAGUGGAGCGGUGAAAUGCGUAGAUAUUGGAAAGACCACCGAUGGCGAAGGCAGGUCUCUGGGCCACUACUGACGCUGAGAAGCGAAAGCAUGGGGAGCGAACAGG